This 662-nucleotide ribosomal RNA is filed under the name Bacillus tropicus. Its description in RNAcentral is "bacterial SSU rRNA". It matches the Rfam family "Bacterial small subunit ribosomal RNA", at positions 75 to 719 of the family's 1533-position model. Lineage: Bacteria; Bacillati; Bacillota; Bacilli; Caryophanales; Bacillaceae. The record is from RNAcentral.
AGAGCUUGCUCUUAUGAAGUUAGCGGCGGACGGGUGAGUAACACGUGGGUAACCUGCCCAUAAGACUGGGAUAACUCCGGGAAACCGGGGCUAAUACCGGAUAACAUUUUGAACCGCAUGGUUCGAAAUUGAAAGGCGGCUUCGGCUGUCACUUAUGGAUGGACCCGCGUCGCAUUAGCUAGUUGGUGAGGUAACGGCUCACCAAGGCAACGAUGCGUAGCCAACCUGAGAGGGUGAUCGGCCACACUGGGACUGAGACACGGCCCACACUCCUACGGGAGGCAGCAGUAGGGAAUCUUCCGCAAUGGACGAAAGUCUGACGGAGCAACGCCGCGUGAGUGAUGAAGGCUUUCGGGUCGUAAAACUCUGUUGUUAGGGAAGAACAAGUGCUAGUUGAAUAAGCUGGCACCUUGACGGUACCUAACCAGAAAGCCACGGCUAACUACGUGCCAGCAGCCGCGGUAAUACGUAUGUGGCAAGCGUUAUCCGGAAUUAUUGGGCGUAAAGCGCGCGCAGGUGGUUUCUUAAGUCUGAUGUGAAAGCCCACGGGCUCACCCGUGGAGGGUCAUUGGAAACUGGGAGACUUGAGUGCAGAAGAGGAAAGUGGAAUUCCAUGUGUAGCGGUGAAAUGCGUAGAGAUAUGGAGGAACACCAGUGGCGAA